This 1429-nucleotide ribosomal RNA is filed under the name Vibrio parahaemolyticus. RNAcentral describes it as "bacterial SSU rRNA". It matches the Rfam family "Bacterial small subunit ribosomal RNA". Lineage: Bacteria; Pseudomonadati; Pseudomonadota; Gammaproteobacteria; Vibrionales; Vibrionaceae. The record is from RNAcentral.
CAUGCAAGUCGAGCGGAAACGAGUUGUCUGAACCUUCGGGGAACGAUAACGGCGUCGAGCGGCGGACGGGUGAGUAAUGCCUAGGAAAUUGCCCUGAUGUGGGGGAUAACCAUUGGAAACGAUGGCUAAUACCGCAUGAUGCCUACGGGCCAAAGAGGGGGACCUUCGGGCCUCUCGCGUCAGGAUAUGCCUAGGUGGGAUUAGCUAGUUGGUGAGGUAAGGGCUCACCAAGGCGACGAUCCCUAGCUGGUCUGAGAGGAUGAUCAGCCACACUGGAACUGAGACACGGUCCAGACUCCUACGGGAGGCAGCAGUGGGGAAUAUUGCACAAUGGGCGCAAGCCUGAUGCAGCCAUGCCGCGUGUGUGAAGAAGGCCUUCGGGUUGUAAAGCACUUUCAGUCGUGAGGAAGGUAGUGUAGUUAAUAGCUGCAUUAUUUGACGUUAGCGACAGAAGAAGCACCGGCUAACUCCGUGCCAGCAGCCGCGGUAAUACGGAGGGUGCGAGCGUUAAUCGGAAUUACUGGGCGUAAAGCGCAUGCAGGUGGUUUGUUAAGUCAGAUGUGAAAGCCCGGGGCUCAACCUCGGAAUUGCAUUUGAAACUGGCAGACUAGAGUACUGUAGAGGGGGGUAGAAUUUCAGGUGUAGCGGUGAAAUGCGUAGAGAUCUGAAGGAAUACCGGUGGCGAAGGCGGCCCCCUGGACAGAUACUGACACUCAGAUGCGAAAGCGUGGGGAGCAAACAGGAUUAGAUACCCUGGUAGUCCACGCCGUAAACGAUGUCUACUUGGAGGUUGUGGCCUUGAGCCGUGGCUUUCGGAGCUAACGCGUUAAGUAGACCGCCUGGGGAGUACGGUCGCAAGAUUAAAACUCAAAUGAAUUGACGGGGGCCCGCACAAGCGGUGGAGCAUGUGGUUUAAUUCGAUGCAACGCGAAGAACCUUACCUACUCUUGACAUCCAGAGAACUUUCCAGAGAUGGAUUGGUGCCUUCGGGAACUCUGAGACAGGUGCUGCAUGGCUGUCGUCAGCUCGUGUUGUGAAAUGUUGGGUUAAGUCCCGCAACGAGCGCAACCCUUAUCCUUGUUUGCCAGCGAGUAAUGUCGGGAACUCCAGGGAGACUGCCGGUGAUAAACCGGAGGAAGGUGGGGACGACGUCAAGUCAUCAUGGCCCUUACGAGUAGGGCUACACACGUGCUACAAUGGCGCAUACAGAGGGCGGCCAACUUGCGAAAGUGAGCGAAUCCCAAAAAGUGCGUCGUAGUCCGGAUUGGAGUCUGCAACUCGACUCCAUGAAGUCGGAAUCGCUAGUAAUCGUGGAUCAGAAUGCCACGGUGAAUACGUUCCCGGGCCUUGUACACACCGCCCGUCACACCAUGGGAGUGGGCUGCAAAAGAAGUAGGUAGUUUAACCUUCGGGAGGACGCUUACCACUU